CGGUAAAGAGGGGAGCACUGUACGCGAAACACCACUAACAAAACAUUGUUUUAUCGGAAGCUGUUAUGUUUAUAACAGCAAGCUCGCAAUUUACACAUUGAAGGUACAAAAAGGAUUGCUGGCAGGCUACAUGAGCCAUUUUUGAUUACAGGUGUUGUGCUUGUUGUAUCAUAACCUAUGCCAAAGUGUAUGGCUCCGAGGAGUUGCUCACAUUUCUUCAAUUUGGUUGCUUAUAGUUUAUUCGGAGCUAUGAUUGUGUUGUGGUAGUGCUUGGGUGCAUUGCAAGGAAAUUCCAUGAGAUCGUCAUACAGAAUGUUGGCUCUUUAUCCAAGAUACCUAAGGAAAGCCCUGCUGCUGAAGAACUGUCCAAUAUCACCGGCAAAUACAUUCACAUGAACAAUGAUGGAUUAACUUUACAGUGACGAUACCACUUGGUAAGAAAAGAUAGCAGUACAAUUCUUUGCUGCAUCAUUUAUUUCAAUUAUUGAUGUCUCUUUGUUAUCUUAUUAACCUCUAUUGGUUCCAUUUGUGGAAAAAGUAUUUGAUGUCAAAGACAUGGGAACUUGAUAUUUUUAAUGCCAUUUUGGUGGGACUUGGAAAUGGAAUCUUAACAUUACCAGAGAUUCCUCUAAUCAAGUAAUUGUGGGUAAUUUGGUUGUCAUAAAGGGUUUUAGCUAAUGUUAUUCAAAGCUUGUUUUUUUGU
Daphnia carinata is the source of this 703-nucleotide long non-coding RNA. RefSeq lists it as uncharacterized. NCBI's taxonomy places the organism in Eukaryota, Metazoa, Arthropoda, Branchiopoda, Diplostraca, Daphniidae. The record is from RefSeq and is a predicted model, not a curated record. The transcript is spliced from 4 exons.